AGGGUUGCAUGGUCAAGUGAAUAAGCGCAUAUGGUGGAUGCCUUGGCAGUAAGAGGCGAUGAAGGACGUAGUAGCCUGCGAUAAGCUUCGGGGAGCUGGCAAACAAGCGAUGAUCCGGAGAUUUCCGAAUGGGGAAACCCAACCUUUCGAGGUUAUCGUAUACUGAAUUCAUAGGUAUACGAGGCGAACCUGGGGAACUGAAACAUCUAAGUACCCAGAGGAAAAGAAAUCAACCGAGAUUCCGUCAGUAGCGGCGAGCGAAAGCGGAACAGCCCAGUUACUAAAUCAUUAUUUGUUCUAGCAGAAUGUUCUGGAAAGUUCAGCCAUAGCGGGUGAUAGCCCCGUACGCGAAAGAGUAAAUAAUGUGGGUAACGAUGAGUAGGUCGGGACACGUGGUAUCUUGACUGAACAUGGGGGGACCAUCCUCCAAGGCUAAAUACUCCUUACUGACCGAUAGCGAACCAGUACCGUGAGGGAAAGGUGAAAAGAACCCCGGCGAGGGGAGUGAAAUAGAACCUGAAACCGUAUGCGUACAAGCAGUAGGAGCAUUUCUUCGGAAAUGUGACUGCGUACCUUUUGUAUAAUGGGUCAGCGACUUACUUGUUGUAGCGAGCUUAACCGUCUAGGGGAGGCGUAGGGAAACCGAGUCCGAAAUGGGCGUUUAGUUGCAACGAGUAGACCCGAAACCGAGCGAUCUAUCUAUGGCCAGGGUGAAGGUCAGGUAACACUGACUGGAGGCCCGAACCCACUAAUGUUGAAAAAUUAGGGGAUGAGCUGUGGAUAGGAGUGAAAGGCUAAUCAAGCUCGGAGAUAGCUGGUUCUCCUCGAAAGCUAUUUAGGUAGCGCCUCGUGUAUGACUCUUGGGGGUAGAGCACUGUUUCGGCUAGGGGGCCAUCCCGGCCUACCAAACCGAGGCAAACUCCGAAUACCAAGAAGUUUUAGCACGGGAGACACACUGCGGGUGAUAAGGUCCGUGGUGGAAAGGGAAACAGCCCAGAUCGCCAGCUAAGGUCCCAAAAUCACAGUUAAGUGGAAAACGAUGUGGGAAGGCUCAGACAGCCAGGAGGUUGGCUUAGAAGCAGCCAUCCUUUAAAGAAAGCGUAAUAGCUCACUGGUCGAGUCGUCCUGCGCGGAAGAUUUAACGGGGCUCAAACUGUGUACCGAAGCUGCGGCAUCAGAAGACAGAUGACAGAUGACAGAUGACAGAUGACAGAAAUAUGAAAAAAGAAAUAUCUAGCUUUGAAGAUUUAGUGGUUUUUCAGAAAGCGUAUAAGCUUUCUUUAAAGCUUCAUAAACUAACUUUAAGUAUGCCUAAAGAAGAGCAAUAUGGAUUGGCAAGCCAAAUCCGUCAAGCAAGUAAAUCAAUUUGCGCGAAUAUUGCUGAAGGGUUUGGAAAGCAGAGUGUUUCUACGGCUGAAUUUAAGCGAUUUAUUUUAAUUGCAAUGGGUUCGGCAGAUGAGAUGCGUGUGUGGUUACGAUAUUGUUUUGAUUUAGGUUAUUUGAAUGAAAAAACCUGGGUAGACUUCCGCAAUAACUAUCAGGAUAUUGCGAAAAUGCUAAAGGGUUUGCACAAAAGCUGGAGUUAAUUUUUAUCUUUCUGUCCUCAGUCUUCUGCCAUCUGUCUUCUGAUGGGUAGAGGAGCGUUCUGUAAGCCUGUGAAGGUGAAUCGAGAGGUUUGCUGGAGGUAUCAGAAGUGCGAAUGCUGACAUAAGUAACGAUAAUGUGGGUGAAAAACCCACACGCCAAAAGUCUAAGGUUUCCUGCGCAACGUUAAUCGGCGCAGGGUGAGUCGGCCCCUAAGGCGAGGCAGAAAUGCGUAGUCGAUGGGAAACGGGUUAAUAUUCCCGUACUUUAUAAUACUGCGAUGGGAGGACGGAGAAGGCUAGGUCAGCCACCCGAUGGUUGUGGUGGUUUAAGUGUGUAGGAAGGGUUCUUUGGCAAAUCCGGGAACUCAAUUCCGAGACAUGAUGACGAAGUACGAACUUGUUCGUGCAAAGUGAUUGAUGCCACGCUUCCAGGAAAAGUCCCUAAGCUUCAGGUAUUGUAAAACCGUACUAUAAACCGACACAGGUGGACAGGUAGAGAAUACCAAGGCGCUUGAGAGAACUUGGGUGAAGGAACUAGGCAAAAUGGCACCGUAACUUCGGGAGAAGGUGCGCCCUUGGUAAGUGAAGGUCCUUGCGACUGGAGCUGAAAAGGGUUGCAGAUACCAGGUGGCUGCGACUGUUUACUAAAAACACAGCACUCUGCAAACUCGUAAGAGGACGUAUAGGGUGUGACGCCUGCCCGGUGCCGGAAGGUUAAGUGAUGGGGUUAGCCCUCGGGCGAAGCUCUUGAUCGAAGCCCCGGUAAACGGCGGCCGUAACUAUAAAUUAACCGUUGUAGUUACGUAAAUAAACUUGGCUAUAUGCUGGAAACUCCGAGUAUCCUCCAGUACUCAUCUCAACUAAAAUUGAGGUAGUAAAAAUCUGCGAGGUGCGGACAAUCAGCAGGAAAGACUAAUCUUUUUGAUUAGAAUCCUCAGAGACUAAUACGCCGAGCGUACUUAGAAAAAAUCCAUUCUAAGUGUGAUGAUAGAGUCCGAUCUCUAUAGCGAUAUAGAGGGUUUUCAAAAGAAACCUGUUAAUCAUUAUCCCAUGAUUAACAUAACGUCAAUAAACGGUCCUAAGGUAGCGAAAUUCCUUGUCGGGUAAAAAAUUGCCCCGCUAAACUGUAAAGUUUAGUGAUAAAGUCAGCUCAUAUCGGGGGAACCCUCCUGCUUUUUAGCAAAGGGCAAUCCCGAGGGAAGUCUUAAAUGACCCCGUAACGACUGAUCCGAAAGGUGAGGCACGCAUUUGUGUGCAAUACGCUGACUUCUUGCCCUUGGGUUUAUACUCAAGAAGUAAGUGACUAUGGAGAAUUUAUUUAUGUAUUUACAUUUAGAGCCAUGGUAUGUAAGUGGUUUAACAGAAGGAGAAGGGUGUUUUUCGAUAUCAUUUAACUUCAGAAAAAAGUUAAAAAUUGGUAUUGAAACAAGACCAUCUUUUUCCAUCACGUUAAAUCAAAGAGAUUUACCUCUCUUAAAAGAGAUACAUUCGUUUUUUGAAUGUGGAACAAUUAGAUUUUCACGAGGGGAUCGUACGUAUAAAUAUGAAGUCCGUUCCGUAAAAGAUCUUGUGAAGCGAAUAAUUCCACACUUCGAUAACUAUCCUCUUAGAGGAGGUAAACAAAAAGAUUUUCGAUAUUUUUCUGAAAUCUGUAAAAAAAUACAUACCAAUUUUCAUUUAAAUAAACAACAUUUAAUUGAAAUAAUAAAAAUGGCUUAUCUGAUGAAUCCAUCAGGUAAACGUAGGCAUGAAAUAAAUGAUCUCCUAAGGUUGCUUGGUGAGAAAAUGGUAUAGUCUACUCCCUAUGGAAACAUAGGAAAGAGUGAAGUUCCGACCUGCACGAAUGGCGUAACGAUAGCCACGCUGUCUCCACCCAAGACUCAGUGAAAUUGAAAUCGCUGUGAAGAUGCAGCGUACCCGCGGCUAGACGGAAAGACCCCGUGAACCUUUACUACAGCUUUACACUGAACUUUGAAUAUGCCUGUGUAGGAUAGGUGGGAGGCUUUGAAGCUGGAGCGCUAGCUCCAGUGGAGCCAACCUUGAAAUACCACCCUGGCGUGUUUGAGGUUCUAACCCUGUCCCGUAAUCCGGGUCGGGAACAGUGUAUGGUGGGUAGUUUGACUGGGGCGGUCUCCUCCAAAAGAGUAGCGGAGGAGUACAAAGGUACCCUCAGCACGGUCGGAAAUCGUGCAUUGUGUGCAAAGGCAUAAGGGUGCUUGACUGCGAGACUGACAAGUCGAGCAGGUACGAAAGUAGGUCUUAGUGAUCCGGUGGUCCUUUAUGGAAGGGCCAUCGCUCAACGGAUAAAAGGUACUCCGGGGAUAACAGGCUGAUACCACCCAAGAGUUCAUAUCGACGGUGGUGUUUGGCACCUCGAUGUCGGCUCAUCACAUCCUGGGGCUGUAGCCGGUCCCAAGGGUAUGGCUGUUCGCCAUUUAAAGUGGUACGUGAGCUGGGUUUAGAACGUCGUGAGACAGUUCGGUCCCUAUCUGCCGUGGGCGUUGGAGAUUUGAGAGGAGCUGCUCCUAGUACGAGAGGACCGGAGUGGACGUACCUCUGGUGUUCCGGUUGUCACGCCAGUGGCAUUGCCGGGUAGCUAAGUACGGACGGGAUAACCGCUGAAAGCAUCUAAGCGGGAAGCCCCCCUCAAGAUGAGAUCUCCCGGACCUUUAAGGUCCCUAAAGAUUCGUUGAAGACGACAACGUUGAUAGGCAGGGUGUGGAAGCUCAGUAAUGAGUGAAGCUAACCUGUACUAAUUAAUCGUGCGACUUGACUAUGUAACCCUAAAUGGUUUC
Molecule: ribosomal RNA, 4381 nt
Filed under: Coxiella burnetii
Lineage: Bacteria; Pseudomonadati; Pseudomonadota; Gammaproteobacteria; Legionellales; Coxiellaceae
Description: bacterial LSU rRNA
Rfam family: Bacterial large subunit ribosomal RNA
Source: RNAcentral